Molecule: long non-coding RNA, 564 nt
Filed under: Marmota monax (woodchuck)
Lineage: Eukaryota; Metazoa; Chordata; Mammalia; Rodentia; Sciuridae
Source: RNAcentral
GGAGUCCUGAAGACUGGAUCUCUUCCCUCAAUUAUUUCACAUGGUGGCUCUAAUUCCUGAAUAAAAUUUUUGUGCAAGUAAGUGAUGUAAAUAGCCUGAACAGUUGAACUCUAGUCCUCAGGAGAAGACUGGUGGAGGCCUCCCUGGUUGAAGCUGGGAGUGAGGACCAGGGAAAGGGAAAGGGAAGAUGAAAGUAUAUCCCAGCCACACAGGGACAUUUGUGCUGGUGCAAGAAACCUACAUCAAAGUGGCCACAAGAUGAGCUAAUAGAAGAUGGACGAAUGUGACUCCACAUUUAUUGUGCUUUAUGUGGAAUCUGGACUUUAUUGGAAGGGAGGAGCCUGUGUGUGCCAUUUUCCUGCUCCCUGUCUCUCCUUCCCAACCUGACAGUGCAGGAGCCCCCUUGGAUCUCAGUGUCCCAUGUAGGGUUGACUUUACCAGCCCUUGGGAUUCUUACCUCUUCUAUUAUUUGAAGCACACACUAACCCUUUCUCCCUUCCCCACCUUUUUUUCCCUGAAGAAAUAUAAUAAAGGAAUAAAGGCCUAUCUAUCUGGAAAAAAAAA